Small nucleolar RNA from Lathyrus oleraceus (garden pea), 107 nucleotides. The record is from RefSeq and is a predicted model, not a curated record. NCBI's taxonomy places the organism in Eukaryota, Viridiplantae, Streptophyta, Magnoliopsida, Fabales, Fabaceae.
AUGCCAUGGUGAGGACAUUGCAUUAAUAGUUCUUUGAAUCUCUCCCAAGAAUCAAACAAAGACUCGUCAUCUUCUUGUCUAAAUGAAGUAAUCUCAUUUCUCAUCUU